Molecule: long non-coding RNA, 502 nt
Filed under: Microcebus murinus (gray mouse lemur)
Lineage: Eukaryota; Metazoa; Chordata; Mammalia; Primates; Cheirogaleidae
Description: lncRNA (ENSMICG00000048384.1)
Source: RNAcentral
CUGCAGACCCAGCCCCAGAAUUUUCCAGUGCAUUUCCUGUGUGGCCCUCUUGGGCUGGUCACACCGGCUCUCAGUGCAAUGGUUCUGAUGGACUGUGUGCCAGCUUCAAGUGUUUGGCCAACUCCAGCAACUUCUGGUCCUUUCUCCAGAGAGAGGGUAUGGAAGCUGGAAGCUGUACUGACCAGGCCACUUUGUUAGUUGUUCUAGGAAGUCUUACUCCUACUUGGCAAACAAAAUGUAUAGACAGAGGUUUGGCUGGAGCAAUGGGUGUCACAACUGCUGCAGUCCCAGUUCAUUCGCAGUGCCAUGAAGGGAUGGAGCUGCCAUCACGGAGACACCGAUGCUUAGAACCAGUUCUUGCAGAAAUAUGUAGACGGAGAGAAGGAUGGAGCCCCAGAUGUUUGGGAUGGGGUCCAAGGUUUCGUGGUCUGGGCCCCGCUGCCUCUUCAACCUCCUGGCUGGCCAUUUCCCCACAUACAUCUCUAUUUCAAGCUUUCUAAAG